This 168-nucleotide ribosomal RNA is filed under the name Saccharomycopsis fibuligera. Its description in RNAcentral is "partial 18S ribosomal RNA". It matches the Rfam family "Eukaryotic small subunit ribosomal RNA", at positions 1484 to 1653 of the family's 1831-position model. Lineage: Eukaryota; Fungi; Ascomycota; Saccharomycetes; Ascoideales; Saccharomycopsidaceae. The record is from RNAcentral.
GGGCCGCACGCGCGCUACACUGACGGAGCCAACGAGUAUAUCCUUUGCCGAGAGGUAUGGGUAAUCUUGUGAAACUCCGUCGUGCUGGGGAUAGAGCAUUGCAAUUAUUGCUCUUCAACGAGGAAUUCCUAGUAAGCGUAAGUCAUCAGCUUGCGUUGAUUACGUCCC